UACGUAGGGGGCAAGCGUUGUCCGGAUUUAUUGGGCGUAAAGAGCGUGUAGGCGGCUUGACAGGUCUGCUGUGAAAACUCGAGGCUCAACCUCGAGAUGUCGGCGGAAACCGUCUGGCUAGAGUCCGGAAGAGGAGAGUGGAAUUCCUGGUGUAGCAGUGAAAUGCGUAGAUAUCAAGCGGAACACCAGUGGCGAAGGCGAGUCCCUGGACAACUCCUGACACUGAGGCACGAAAGCUAGGGGGAGCAAACAGG
This 254-nucleotide ribosomal RNA is filed under the name uncultured bacterium. RNAcentral describes it as "partial 16S ribosomal RNA". It matches the Rfam family "Bacterial small subunit ribosomal RNA", at positions 524 to 776 of the family's 1533-position model. The record is from RNAcentral.